This 293-nucleotide unclassified non-coding RNA is filed under the name fungal sp. RNAcentral describes it as "partial internal transcribed spacer region". The stretch from base 1 to 46 matches the Rfam family "Eukaryotic small subunit ribosomal RNA", at positions 1786 to 1831 of the family's 1831-position model. The record is from RNAcentral. Lineage: Eukaryota; Fungi.
AAGUCGUAACAAGGUUUCCGUAGGUGAACCUGCGGAAGGAUCAUUAAUAAAAUGAUGAAUUUUUUGGGGUUUUCCCUGAAAAAUAAUUCACCUUUUGUGCACUGUUAUAAGAUAUACUUUGGUUAGAGCUUUGAUUUCAUUUUUUUGAAAUCAAUUUCUUGCUGACUCUAUCCUGUUAAGGACAGUUGGCUAUGAAGCGGCCUACCAAGGUUUUUUAUCAAACACAUUUAAUUCAUCUGACCUAAAUCAUUAUAAUAAAAUCAUAACUUUCAACAACGGAUCUCUUGGCUCUC